RNAcentral lists this ribosomal RNA (615 nucleotides) under uncultured bacterium. RNAcentral's name for it is "bacterial SSU rRNA". It matches the Rfam family "Bacterial small subunit ribosomal RNA", at positions 338 to 947 of the family's 1533-position model. The record is from RNAcentral.
CCUACGGGAGGCAGCAGUGGGGAAUUUUGGACAAUGGGCGCAAGCCUGAUCCAGCAAUGCCGCGUGCAGGAUGAAGGCCUUCGGGUUGUAAACUGCUUUUGUACGGAGCGAAAAGGCUCUUCCUAACACGGAGGGCCCAUGACGGUACCGUAAGAAUAAGCACCGGCUAACUACGUGCCAGCAGCCGCGGUAAUACGUAGGGUGCGAGCGUUAAUCGGAAUUACUGGGCGUAAAGCGUGCGCAGGCGGUUAUGUAAGACAGAUGUGAAAUCCCCGGGCUCAACCUGGGACCUGCAUUUGUGACUGCAUAGCUAGAGUACGGUAGAGGGGGAUGGAAUUCCGCGUGUAGCAGUGAAAUGCGUAGAUAUGCGGAGGAACACCGAUGGCGAAGGCAGUCCCCUGGACCUGUACUGACGCUCAUGCACGAAAGCGUGGGGAGCAAACAGGAUUAGAUACCCUGGUAGUCCACGCCCUAAACGAUGUCAACUGGUUGUUGGGUCUUUACUGACUCAGUAACGAAGCUAACGCGUGAAGUUGACCGCCUGGGGAUACGGCCGCAAGGUUGAAACUCAAAGGAAUUGAGGCUGAGACGNGCGAGACGACGACGAGGAGGAGG